This 2320-nucleotide long non-coding RNA is filed under the name Suricata suricatta (meerkat). RNAcentral's name for it is "lncRNA (ENSSSUG00005018037.1)". Lineage: Eukaryota; Metazoa; Chordata; Mammalia; Carnivora; Herpestidae. The record is from RNAcentral.
ACUGGGUACAGGUGGAGCUGCGCUGGCCGCCCCGGUCGCCUUCCCCCAGCCUCCCUUAGCAGGGGGGCGACUUUGGCUGGGCUCCUGUCCUCGUUGCACCCACCACAUCCUGGCACCCCCAUCUGGUAUCACGUGUUUCCUUGCUGUCCCCUUUCGCAUGGGGACCUGCAGAACUGGAAGCAGCGCGGUGAAGCGGGACACCAACUGCAGGCCCCACCCGCACCCCAGCUCCACGUAGCUCCCCUUCCCUGCACCCCUGCCGGGAGUGCGCUGGGGCAUGGGAACACAUUCUCCACAGUCCAGGGAAGAAGCUGACUGCGGGGCCUGAAGAAGUCCUCUUUCACGGCUCUGCUCCCGGAAUGUCCCCGAUGGACCCUUCACUCCGUGUCAGGGGUGGAGAGGAGGCUCGUUUCUCUCAUUCCUGCUAAACUGAGAAGCAAAUGGUCCUGAGAAGCCCUCUAACCCGCCUUCACUCCGCUCCCCGAAAAACGGAAAGAGGGAGGAGGAGGAGGAGCCGGAGGACCAGAGGGGGAGGUAGGGAGGAAGACGGGCGAGAGUCCUCGGGUUUCCAGGGCUUUUCUAUCCUUCCCAAGCUCAGCCUUUUUUGCCUUCCUCUUCAAACGCCCCCCUACAGCGCCCCCCCCCAUCUUCCUCCUAUUCCUGGGUCAGUGUGCUGCAGGACUAGUUGGAGCCUUUUCGGCCCGCCCCAGGCGCCGUGGUUAGCUGUGGAAACAGUCGCCACCCCACCUUGCAAUGUUUCCAUCGCUGCGCCCUCCAGCUUCCACGACUCACCCCACAGAGCCUUAACUGUGAGUACAGCAGGACUCAGGACAACCCAGAAAGAAAAAGAGCUGAAGCCUCAUUUACUGUGGAAAUCAGUACCGCACAACUGGUUAGAAAGAAAUCAGGUUCUCUAAGCACCAACAAAAUUUGUCUUUUAAAUGUUCAACAGAACUGUGGGCACUUGGCAGAAGAGGAAAGCCAAAUGGCCAGCAUGUGAGGACACACUCACUCUCGACCUUAAUUAGGGAGAUGCACAUCUACACAACGAGAUGCCAACUCAUCUGUCAGAGUGACGGAAUUGAAAAGACCUGACAAAACUAAGAAUUAUAAAGCACGUGGGUAAAUGGAAACCUGUCCACAACUGGUGUGAGAAUAAACUGGUACCAUCACUUUGGAGAGAAAUUUGCCAGUAGCUAGCUAUGGAGGCUGAAGAGAAGCUCGUGUUCCAGGUCAGUCACUGUUCUCAAGGUCAACAUCCUCUCGAAGCCCUUCCUUUCCCAAGCUGACACCCUAGAGAAAACCUUGCACACAGACUGUAGGAAAUGUUCACAAGGAUGCUCGCUGUAGCAUUAUUUAUAACGGCAAAAACUAGAACCAGCCUGAAGAUCCAUUAACAAAGGAAUGGAUAAAUGAACAGUGGCAAUUGUCAUCCGAUCUUACUGCUCUUGUAUCUUCCCAAAACAUGAACGACUAUGUACUCCUUUACUUAUUUUUUUAAACGUUUUUAUUCUGGCAAAAUACACACAAUAUUGACUAUCUUCACUAUUUCUCAGUGUAGAGUUGUGUGGUAUUAAGUACAUUCACAUUAUUGUACAGACAUCACUACCAUCCAUCUCCAGAACUCUCAUCUUGCAAAGCUGAAACUCUGUAAAUAAUUAAACAAUAACUCCCAAACCCCUUGCUGCCCCCCGCCCCCCCAGCUCGUGGCAACAGCCAGUCUACUUUCUGUCUCUAUGAACGUGAGUACUCUGCUCCUCAUGUCGGAGUAUCACACAGUAUUCGUCCCUUUGUGACUAGCUUAUUUCACUCAGCAUAACUUUCUCAGGGUUUAGCCAUGUUGUCUUAUAUGUCAAAAUCCCCCCCGCCUUUUUUUAAGUUGAAUAAUAUUCCAGUUGCUUAUCCUUUCAUCUGGGGACACCUGGGUUGCUUCCACAUCGCAGCUCUUGUGAAUGACGCUGCCAAGAAUGUAGGUCUGUUCCUUCACUCCGUUUUAAGUUCAACUUCAAACAUUUUUCAUCAUCAGUAGGUAUAAAAUGUAUCAUUUCCAAUGUGUUGUAAAUAUUGAUGUUUUAAGAUAAAACCUUUAUAUCAUUUUUAACUGUUUCUAAUAGAAUAUAAUGUACCAAUUCCUGUUUUUAAAAGCAAGAAUAAGUUCUUUAACUUUUGAAAAAUUUUCACCAUUCUUUUUUUCCCUAUAAUUUAUGAAUUCUACCCAUCUUCCUGCAAAGAAGUUUAUUGGAAUUAAUGUUUUUAUGCUUGAAGAUCUUUUAUUGAUCAUACUUCUCUGCCAAAAGAGCAUAUAAAAUGAAAUUUUAAU